GAUGAACGCUGGCGGCGUGCCUAAUACAUGCAAGUCGAGCGAACAGACGAGGAGCUUGCUCCCCUGACGUUAGCGGCGGACGGGUGAGUAACACGUGGAUAACCUACCUAUAAGACUGGGAUAACUUCGGGAAACCGGAGCUAAUACCGGAUAAUAUAUUGAACCGCAUGGUUCAAUAGUGAAAGACGGUUUUGCUGUCACUUAUAGAUGGAUCCGCGCCGCAUUAGCUAGUUGGUAAGGUAACGGCUUACCAAGGCGACGAUGCGUAGCCGACCUGAGAGGGUGAUCGGCCACACUGGAACUGAGACACGGUCCAGACUCCUACGGGAGGCAGCAGUAGGGAAUCUGCCGCAAUGGGCGAAAGCCUGACGGAGCAACGCCGCGUGAGUGAUGAAGGUCUUCGGAUCGUAAAACUCUGUUAUUAGGGAAGAACAAAUGUGUAAGUAACUAUGCACGUCUUGACGGUACCUAAUCAGAAAGCCACGGCUAACUACGUG
RNAcentral lists this ribosomal RNA (497 nucleotides) under uncultured bacterium. Its description in RNAcentral is "partial 16S ribosomal RNA". It matches the Rfam family "Bacterial small subunit ribosomal RNA", at positions 28 to 507 of the family's 1533-position model. The record is from RNAcentral.